RNAcentral lists this ribosomal RNA (479 nucleotides) under uncultured bacterium. RNAcentral describes it as "partial 16S ribosomal RNA". It matches the Rfam family "Bacterial small subunit ribosomal RNA", at positions 28 to 507 of the family's 1533-position model. The record is from RNAcentral.
GAUGAACGCUAGCGGUAGGCCUAACACAUGCAAGCCGAGGGGUAUGAUUCUUUCGGGUUUCUGAUACCGGCGCACGGUUGCGUACCGCUUAUGUAACUUACCCCAUUCACUUUUAUAUCCCGUCUAAAGUAGGAUUACUUCCGGAUAUCACUAAUGUGGCCUUCCACUUUGAUUAAAAGAUUUUUCGGACUUGGAUCGACAUGCGUCAGAUUAUCUAGUUGGAGAGGUAACGGCUCACCAAGGCGAUGAUAUGUAGGGGGCCUGAGAGUGUUACCCCCCACAAUGGGACUGAGACACGGAACAGACUCCGACGGGAGGAAGCAGUGAGAUAGAAUGGACAAUGGGAGAGAGCCUGAUCCAGCCAUCCCGCGUGCAGGAAGACGGCCCUAUGGGUUGUAAACUGCUUUUGAAAGGGAAUAAACCACCUUACGCGUAGGGGGUUGAAGGUAACAUACGAAUAAGCACCCGCUAACUUCGUG